Molecule: long non-coding RNA, 721 nt
Organism: Selaginella moellendorffii
Lineage: Eukaryota; Viridiplantae; Streptophyta; Lycopodiopsida; Selaginellales; Selaginellaceae
Exons: 3
Source: RefSeq, a predicted model, not a curated record
UGAGGGGCCUUGGAAAAAGGUAAUCUGUCGAGGCACAGCUUAAAUACAAGGUACGUAUGCGUUGCUGGAUAUGGUGCGCCAGAGAGAUCUUUUGGCUCACAGGAUUCGUUCGUUCGGGCGGAUCCUGACCUUUUUUCCAGUCGCAGUGAAAGAAAAAGCAAAACUCUAUACGCUCUCAUAGGCCGAAAGUUUUCCUUUCUCGAAACUAGCACGUUUUUUUUCUCCUGAUGGUUCUUGCAGGUAGAUAUACUAGUACCAAUGCCAAUGUAGAAGAUUUCAUCAGGUACUCGGCACCACUUGAAUUGCCGUGCUGAAGCAACGAGAGACUAUCCGUUCGUGGUAACAUGGUGCUGUUUUCCUGUGCUCGUGGAACCAAGUCCAGAUUCAAGCAAAUGCAAAUGCGCACCGGCGAGACAUAACAUUAAACAAGGAGGAGCGUUUCGUUGCGCGGCCUUGGACAGUUUUUUAACUCACACGACACAGGCAAGCCAGCCACAGUUGUGUGAAUUGAUCCCAUCGCAGACAUUCCUCCUCCGACGUUGCGAACGUGGUGCUGCUAAGGAAUCUGAGAGAGGGGGGUAUUUAUAUUGUUUCUUCUCCGGGUCUCGGGAAUCAAGCUAAAGGUAAAGAACAGUCCGGCUCUUCCAGAUCUCCAGAGACUCCGCUCAGUCAAAUUUAUGAUUUGGAGAGCGAGCAAAGAUGAUUUUCUCGAUUGUGGAAG